Molecule: ribosomal RNA, 167 nt
Filed under: Trichomonas gallinae
Lineage: Eukaryota; Parabasalia; Trichomonadida; Trichomonadidae
Description: 5.8S ribosomal RNA
Rfam family: 5.8S ribosomal RNA
About the family: 5.8S ribosomal RNA (5.8S rRNA) is a component of the large subunit of the eukaryotic ribosome. It is transcribed by RNA polymerase I as part of the 45S precursor that also contains 18S and 28S rRNA.
Source: RNAcentral
UCUCUAAGCAACGGAUGUCUUGGCUCCUCACACGAUGAAGAACGUGGCAUAAUGUGUUAAGUAACCGGAGUUGCAAACAUCAUGACAGGUUAAUCUUUGAAUGCAAAUUGCGCUUACCCGACUUCGGUCGAGGAGCAUGCGUGUAACAGUACAAACAUAAUUUAUAA